CCUACGGGAGGCAGCAGUGGGGAAUAUUGCACAAUGGGGGAAACCCUGAUGCAGCGACGCCGCGUGAGUGAAGAAGUAUUUCGGUAUGUAAAGCUCUAUCAGCAGGGAAGAAGAAAGACGGUACCUGACUAAGAAGCCCCGGCUAAAUGCGUGCCAGCAGCCGAGGUAAUACGUAGGGGGCAAGCGUUAUCCGGAUUUACUGGGUGUAACGGGAGCGUAGACGGCUGGGCAAGUCUGAAGUGAAAGCCCAGGGCUCAACCCUGGGACUGCUUUGGAAACUGUGGAGCUAGAGUGCAGGAGAGGUAAGUGGAAUUCGUAGUGUAGCGGUGAAAUGCGUAGAUAUUAGGAGGAACACCAGUGGCGAAGGCGGCUUACUGGACAGUAACUGACGUUGAGGCUCGAAAGCGUGGGGAGCAAACAGGAUUAGAUACCCUUGUAGUC
This 441-nucleotide ribosomal RNA is filed under the name uncultured bacterium. RNAcentral describes it as "partial 16S ribosomal RNA". It matches the Rfam family "Bacterial small subunit ribosomal RNA", at positions 338 to 795 of the family's 1533-position model. The record is from RNAcentral.